Long non-coding RNA from Felis catus (domestic cat), 1922 nucleotides. RefSeq lists it as uncharacterized. The record is from RefSeq and is a predicted model, not a curated record. Lineage: Eukaryota; Metazoa; Chordata; Mammalia; Carnivora; Felidae. The transcript is spliced from 3 exons.
AGUGGGAUUACAUCAGACAAAAGCAAAGGAAACAACACAAUGGGAAUUUAACCUACAGAAUGGGAUGAAAUAUUUGCAAACCAUAUAUCUGAUAAGGGGUUAAUAUCCAAAAUAUAUGAAGGACUCCUACAACUCACCUGUCAAAGGACCUGAAUAAACAUUUCUCCAAAGAAGACCUACAAAUGGCUAACAGGUAUUUGAAAAGGUGCUCAACAUCACGAGUCAACAAGGAAGCAUCAGUAAAAACCACAGUGAGCUAUCAUCUUAUACCUGUUAAGAUGGCUAUUAUUAAAAAAAUAACAGAUAACAAAAUGCUGGCGAGGUUGUAGAGAAAAGGGAACUUUGGUACACUGUGGAUGGGACUCACAAAGGUGAAGGAUAAAGUACUUGCCCGGUAGGCUCCCUGGAACCUGAAUGAACUGCAGACAGGAGCGGUCAGUGCCACCAGUUAAUCCAACAAGAGUCUGGGGCAGGAGAUGGGAGGUAAAAGAUCCUGCAUCAUUUGGAUAGCAACCAAGCCAGCCAUAUGGGAAGGAAAAUAAUCUAGUGAGUUGCAAAAUAAGAAAUCAUGGUCCAUGUGUUCCUUCUGAUGGCUUUCUUUGGGAUAUGAGGCAAAAUAGAACUUUGACUUCUCUCCUGAAACAUCUGUGACACAAUUUAAGGAAAUUCAACAGGUUAGUUCAUGUACCUGAUAAGUUUGCAUAGCAUCUUUGAUACUUUUAUGGAAACCUCCCCAACAUUCUUCUAUUAGGUCAAUAAGCCACUAAGCCCAUCUUUCCAAGAGGGGUAAGAUAUACAGGAAGACCCAGGAAAUGGGUUUCGUAUAUUGAUUCAGUUACUGUUGUGAGGUUACAAAUACAGCAUGAAGGCUAUUGAGGCCAUUUUGCUUAGCAUGUGAGCAACCAUUGGAAGGGUUAAUGAAUAGCCACAAUUUUAAAGAUCACGUUUAUGUGAUUUAAUCACCUUUAAAUACCUGAAGAAAAAUUAAGAGAUCCGGUCCAUCUCAUGAGGUGCUCCAUAUAAUAAAACAUUAUGGAAGACUUAGAGGUAUUGGAUUUUAUAGUGUCUUUAUACUAAACAUACCACAUCGAUCAUUUCUAACUGAUAACGCUUUAAUUAGUCAGGUUAUUUAAAUGUGAAAUGGUGACCUAAUGGAGUUUUAUGCUUGAUAAUAGCCAGGUGGAAGAGAACAUAUGAAUAACAGGAUCCCUGUUCUAUUGGUAGAUGAUAAGCAAGUCGGUAUCUUUACAUGUUAAAAAAUUUUAAUAAAGUAGAAAAACUUUAUUUGGGUUUAUCUUUUUUCCUUGACAUUAAUUAGUACUUUACUCAAGGUAAACAUUCUAAAUGUGUUUGUAAUGUGAAGAAAUAACAUGGAAGAAGUUUGAAAUGCAUCAGAUUGAUAAGUUUAUCUGAAACAACCUUGAAGUACUAUAUUAAUAUAUUAAACUAGCAUUAGAAAUUAAUUCAUUAAAAAAGAAACUAAUUUAUUCUAUGCUUGUGAGGAUAUAAUAAAACUGCUAUCUUCACAUAAAGGUAGCAAGAUGACACAACUUCUCAAAGGAAAUUUGAAAAUAUGUGUUUCUAACUAAUUCUAUUGCUGGAAUAUUAUCUUAAGGACAUAGUCAAAAAUACAGGACGAAAAGCUCUGUCCACUAGUAUAUGCAUAGCAGCAUUAUUUAUACUAGUAAGUAAUUGGAAAUAAAUUAAAUGUCCAACAGUAAGGUAGUUUAUAUUAUAGUGUGUUACAUGGCUAUUAAACUCAUACUUAUGGGGUCUAUUUAACAGCAUGAAAAAUGCUUAUGUCCUAAUGUUAAGUGAAAAAUUUAUAGAAAACUAUGUACAUACUGUUAUUAUAAAUAUAUGUUAAUUAUAUGUGUGUUUAUUUAAAAAAGAUUUGAAACCAAGUAAAAAAAAAUAUGUAC